GUCCCUAAUCUGGUCCCAGUAUCAAUGAAAGCUCGCAGCUCUUCUCGGAAAGCUUCGACUCGCUUACGCUUUCGUUUAUCGCGUGUGCCGGCCAUUCAUUGAUAACUAUCAUCGCGCGAUGUGUAUCGACAAGUUCGCGGAACAACUGAUGCAUCAAUGUUAAUUAAUUAGUUUCUCGCUUCCGUGAAAACGUGCCACUUAUUGCGUGACGAUUAUUAUACAAUAUUAUACAACACUCUCAAUAAAUUUGUCAUAACGACGUUGCCGAUUGUGCAAUUCGCGGGAACCCUUGAUUGCUUCAUACUCUUGACCUCUCGCCAUUCAAGCAAGAGAGAAGACUCAUUCUUCGUACGAGGAAUAAGUGGAAAAUCCCAAUUCGUCAGCCACGAGAUGCGUCCGGAAUGCGUCCGGAAUGCCAGUUGCAUCCACUAUUCGCGCUUGCGGCGGGUAGUAGCAUCAGUGUCGAGUCAGACGUCUCGGAUAUCGGAUCCCUCGCUACUUACUCUCGUCGUUGUCUCCCUCGCGAAGGAAGUCGCCGGUGAAUUCAGUGGCGGAUCUAUUGAUCCAAAGCGUCGCGCAGGAUAUCGCUGGCCAUGCCGGAUUACCGUGGCCUCUUCAAGUUGUUUCUCCGGCGGGUUUGUAGUUGACGUCAUAUACAGAGUGGAGAAUUACAGAAAAAAAAGGAAUUGAUCGAAAUCGCACAUUCCACAACUGCGUACAUUUCAAUCUGUCCUUUUUAGCCGAUGCAAUUGAUGCGCUUGUAUGAUUUCGACCUGUGUGACUCAUGCGGAUUGUCGGUGAGCGAAGCCUCGGAUCGUCCGGUCGCGAUGUGGCAGUCAAUUGAUUCAACGAUCAGAAGAAAAACGUCCUGAUUGCGACUGGCCGCGAUCUCCCGAUCUCCGCAAUUUACGAUCCGCUUGCACGGUCAGGUCGACGCAAAUAUUUGCUCGGCCGUUACUCGUGAAAACAUCGUGACUCUUUCUUCUGUCCGCAACUGAACUCUCUUUGUGAACUUUUCUAUAUUCGUUCACGCGCAAAUGUGCAAAAUAUUGAAAUGUAAAAUAUUGAGAGACAUCUUGUAAAGCUUACUAAACAUUUCGUUAUUUGAUGAUUUACAAAAAUCAAUCGGCUUGAUUUUACUGAAACUCACUUGGAUCCGAAAAAAGUUUAAGAAUAAAAAUUAUAUCAUGUAAAAUUAACAAAUAGUAUUACAACUUUCAAAGCUAAUACUUUCUUUAAAACACACACACACACACACACACACACUCAACACAUAGGUGUAUAAUUUUCUUAAAAUAUAACGUAAAACAUGAACUAAAUUAAAUUAAAAUAUUUUUUUCAAUUUUAAUGAAAAUUUAAAAUUUGAUAUUUAUCCCAGACACGCAUUCUCGAUGUGCGUAAAAUGUUUAAUACUUAUUAACAAAUAACAGAGAGAGAGCAUGCAGUAGGGGGAAUAUUGAGUGGUUACUGGCAGGAAUCAACGGAGUGGAAACUGUCGCGCAAUUAGCAGACCGGGGGUCAUGUAAACGAGCCUAAUGCGAGCCCACGAGCUCAUAAAUAGCGCUAAUAGCAUUGUUCGCGCGUGAGAGCCGUGUGUAAAUACAGAGGGCGCGGGCAAGUAUACGAAAGAGGGUGGAAGAAGGUGGAAGGUCAACAGAGGAGAGGUAUCCAGCCAUAAUAGCCGCCUACAUGCUCCAGCGAAAUUACCUUUCGAUCUAUUUACCUCCAGAAAACGUCGAGUUACGUCAGUCGUGUCAGUUGGAUGCUCGAUGAUAGGCUCACUUGUUAUUAGCGAGCGUUUUUAGCUUGCAUUCGCAAUCAAAAAUUUGCACGCGUGCACUCGUGAGAUUUGUUGGCAUCGGAAAUUUUAAUUUAAGAGAACGGAAAUAACGGUGCUCGGUACGUUUACAUUGAGACUGUCUCAACUAUCACCGAAUUUGUAUUGUCUGGUUAUAGAUUUUAUUAUGUCAUUAUCCUUUUAAUAUUGCUGAAAGUAAUAUAUAUUUCAUUAGUGAACUCGUUGAAUAAAUAUUCCAUAUAAUUGAAUCAUAUAAUUCCAGGUAAUAAAUGUUGUAUACCACAUCGUUAAAAUUGCAUCAUUGAAAAAUAACGCAGCGGAAGCAGAUAAGAAUAUGCGCGCGCUUAGCAGGAAUUGCUACACGCGCAAGAUCUUUUAGCAAUAAUCUGAUUUUCAGCUCCGUUUUCUUUUUUGAUCCUUAUCUCCCAGCUCGGCUAACUCAUUCAUCAGAAGAUACGAGAAAGCGGUAUAACUGCGUUCUCGUGUAGUUAUCGUGCUUCUUUCUUACGAGCUUAAAGUAUGCAGGUACUUCAGAGCCGGAAAAUAAGCAGAAAACGCACAAGAAGAAAGAGGACGCGUAUAUUCUCGCGUGGAAAGUAAAUAUAUAUCAGUAAAGCGGAGAUCUUUCGUGCCGGAGAUAAAGUGCGAUUCGCGAGUAAAUUUCCCGCGACGCGACGUCCCGCGCGUUUUCUCGCGCCGUUUCAUCCCCGAUGGAUAAUUUAUCGUCCAGCUCUCUGCUGCGACCCCAUCAUGGAUGUCACGCUACACUCUCGCGACGUCGUUCUUGUUCCACUUACGAUUCUGCCGCGCCCGCGGGACGGAUAUUUUUGGCGGACCUUCCGGGGAUUUGUCGAGCGGAACUUUCGGCCGCGCUCUGGAAAUCGCUCUGCUUCCAGCAUGCUCCCGUCAAUUACCGCCUGUUUCCAGCUAUCGCUGCCGUCAAUGAAAGGUCUUAACGCAGCCCACGCUAUCGAAAACGGAAAUUUCAAUUAAAGUCAAGCGUCCCGCUAUGACAUAUCGAUGUGGAUACGUUUGAAUCUGUAUUUGCCAAAUAUGCAAACCAUUUUAUUAAUUAUUUUUUUAGAUAUGGUUUCUUUAUUUAUUUUUUAUUUUGUUUCGUCUGUGAUAUUGUGUAACGAUAUCAUGCAUAAUCGCGAACGAUACUCUGUCCCUCUGUCCCUUUCUCUCUCUUUUUCAGUCUUGUGUCAAUAUCAAGCGCAUCAGUGUCAUUCGCAAACUCGAUAUUACCGUUGCUAAGGGAAAAGAAAUAAUAUAGGGAUAAAAUAUCAGUUAUAAAUGGGAGGAAGUCAAUUGCUUUUCUUUAUCGUAUCAAUUACUAGUUUAUUUGUUUUCUGGAAUAUAAAUAUCCGAAGCAAUGCAAAAUGAUUCUACCUCGCGUUCUGCUACCCUUUCGCGCUCUGCUACCUUCUAUCUGUUGGGUCCAAUACUCCCAAUUUAUAUUAAUCAUUGGAUGUCAAAUCGAGCGCGGCGUGCCACUCAAUCUGGUCAUGAUCCAGACGCGUUCGAACCCAGAGGCAUUUUGUCGACAUACCUCGACCUGCAUGCCCGAAAGUACACAUGUAUAGUAGUGUCCAUAAAUUCACGAAUGUACCGGUUUUACAGAAUAAUGACUUUCGCUUAAUAAAACGCGGAUACUCUUCAAUGAGAAUGCAGAAUGGCAAAAAUUGCCAAAUCAAAACUGGCAGUUGAAAACAACAGGAUUUAUCGCAAAACAAUUUUCGAUCGUAUAAGUGGAGAACAAAAUUUUAAUGGAUAUUUAAUUUUAAAUGGACGCUGUAUUAAUGAACUGCGAGGAGAAAAUAAUUAGAGAUCCAUACACGAGGAUGGGAAUUUGGGAGAAGUUAAAAAAAAGCGGUGAGAGCCUGCAAUUAAAUUUUGCUGCAAGGAAAAUAAUUAAUGAGAGUUUGUUCAUGCGAAAUAUAGGCGGUAGUGUUGCUUCGCGCUUUUACCUUAGCGUAACUGUAUUUGCUUGCAGUUUCCGUUAAGAGCAUUUGCUUCCGUCGUAUUUGUACUCAAGCUGCACUAUACGUAAUCAGAUCGGGACAAAGUUUGUGCACGGGAAGGUCGUAUGUCCAGGCAAGGAGCUUGAAUUGGAACUGUGGGACUGACUAGCCAGAGAAUGAGUUCAGUCCGACACAAUUAACCCAUUAGGAUACCGAUCUGUCUUUCCGCCGGUCAGUGUAGCCUUGCGUUUAUUGCGAACAGUUGGUUAAAACGCUUAAGAAUAAUAAAUUUCCGUAGCUUCGUGUACAGUGAAGAAGAAACCCAUCUAUCGUACGGAAAUUCAUGAUUCUGAAAAUAACUUUUCUUGAUAUGCAGC
This is a long non-coding RNA of Ooceraea biroi (clonal raider ant), 4139 nucleotides long. RefSeq lists it as uncharacterized. The record is from RefSeq and is a predicted model, not a curated record. Lineage: Eukaryota; Metazoa; Arthropoda; Insecta; Hymenoptera; Formicidae.